GAGUACAUCAGCCUCAGGUGGGUUUUGCUCUGGUGACCUUGAGUCCCUCCUUUGCUGUGAGAGCUCAACAGAUAUUCUGCUGAAUAGAGCAGAAAUAAAGCUCCUCGUGCUUGAACAUCUGGAAGUCACAGUUCACGUACUGUUGAAUCCUGGCUUGGAGAAUUUUGAGCAUUACUUUACUAGCGUGUGAUCAGAUCAGAUCAGUCACUCAGUUGUGUCCGACUCUUUGCGACCCCAUGAAUCGAAGCACGCCAGGUCUCCCUGUCCAUCACCAACUCCCGGAGUUCACUGAGACUCACGUCCAUUGAGUCAGCGAUGCCAUCCAUCGUGUGAGAUGAGUACAAUUCUGCACUCCAAGGCCAAAUUUGCCUGUUACUCCAGGUGGAUUCUUUACCACUGAGCCACCAGAGAAGUUCCUGGUGUGUGGAUCACAACAAACUAUGGAAAAUUCUUAAAGAGGUGGAAAUACCAGACCACCUUAC
Bos taurus (domestic cattle) is the source of this 482-nucleotide long non-coding RNA. The record is from Ensembl. NCBI's taxonomy places the organism in Eukaryota, Metazoa, Chordata, Mammalia, Artiodactyla, Bovidae.